UUUUUUUUUUUUUUUUUUUUUUUUGAGAUGGAGUCUCGCUCUAUUGCCCAGGCCAGAGUGCAGUGGGAUGAUUUCGGCUCACCACAGCCUCUGCCUCCUAGGUUCAAGUUAUUCUCCUGCCUCAGCCUCCCAAGUAGCUGGGACUACAGGCAUGUGCCACCAUGCCCGGCUAAUUUUUGUAGUUUUAGUAGAGGUGGGAUUUCACUAUGUUGGCCAGGAUGGUCUUGAACUCCUGAUCUCGUGAUCCGCCCGCCUCGGGGUCCCAAAGUGUUGGGAUUACAGGCGUGAGCCACCGCGCCCAGCCAUCUUUGAACAUUCUUAGGUGAGUCAGGAUAUUUAUCCAUCUUCCCCUCUUGGGUUAUUUGUCUUCGUGUUCCAGGAUGGGCACUUGAUCCAAUCAGCUACUCAGUUCUGGAAAUUUCAUUGGGAAUCUCAGAAAAGAGACAUGCUUCUUCUAGGAGAGUUGCUAAGCUAUUAGGGUUCAAGCUUGGAGCUACAAAAAGCCAUUUUGCCACUGAGAGAGGAGAGCCUGCCUGAGGGUGAAGCCAAAUGCACCGGGAAGGCAGAACCAGAGAUGGUGAGCCGCAGAACCAGAGAUGGUGAGCCACAGGUUCCUGAUCUCUUCUGGCCCCUGUGUUCACCUGUCUGGAAUCUGUCUGCUCUGGACUUUUCGAUUACUUGGGCCAUAGCUUCCUUUAUUGUUUAGGCCAGCUGGAGCUGGGUCAAUGAGAGACUGGAUGGGUGGAGGAUCUCACUGUGCUCAUGCUUUCCACUACCCUCCAUACUUUAAUUGUUCUCGAUUUCUCUAACUGGCCUUGAUGUCUCUUCUGAUCUCCAGACCACAUGCCCACAGAUGUCCCAAAAGCACGUCUGAAAUUGACCUCAUUAUUAUUGUUGUUACUAUUUUUGAGACAGAGUCUCGCUCUUUUGCCCAGGCUGGCAAUGGCAGUCUUGGCUCACUGCAACUUCCGCCUUCCGGGUUCAAGCGAUUCUCCUGCCUCAGCCUGCUCCCAAGUAGCUGGGAUUACAGGCGCCUGCCACCACGCCCAGCUAAUUUUUUUUUGUAUUUUUAGUACAGACGGAGGUUUCACCAUGUUGGUCAGGCUGGUCUCAAACUCCUGACCUCAAGUGAUCACCGCGCCCGGCCCUGACCUCAUUAAUUCUUUUUUUUUUUUUUUGAUAGGGAGUCUAGCUCUGUUGCCGGGCUGGAGUGCCCUGGCGCCAUUUCGGCUCACCGCAAUCUCUGCCUCCCGGGUUCAAGCUAUUCUCCUGCCUCGGCCUCCCGAGGGGCUGGGACUACAGGCGCGCGCCACCACGCCCGGCUAACUUUUGUAUUUUUAGUAGAGACAGGGUUUCACUAUGUUGGCCAGGCUGGUCUCGAACUCCUGACCUCGUGAUCCACUCGCCUCGACCUCCCAAAGUGCAGGGAUUACAGGCGUGAGCCACCGCGCUCUGAUCUCAUUAUUUCUACCUCCCAUCUUCAUUUCCAGUUUCAGAGAUACAAACUCCCGGACCGCCUGCCUCUCCUCAGAUAAACCAAGGUCGUUAAGUUCAGGCUCCGCC
Long non-coding RNA from Macaca fascicularis (crab-eating macaque), 1563 nucleotides. Lineage: Eukaryota; Metazoa; Chordata; Mammalia; Primates; Cercopithecidae. The record is from Ensembl.